AAGAGCCGUAUGCAGAAAAUCUGCACGUACGGUUCUGUGAGGGGCAAGCAGACAGUAACCACUCACAU
This 68-nucleotide non-coding RNA is filed under the name Anaeroplasma bactoclasticum. The record is from RNAcentral. Lineage: Bacteria; Bacillati; Mycoplasmatota; Mollicutes; Anaeroplasmatales; Anaeroplasmataceae.